RNAcentral lists this ribosomal RNA (929 nucleotides) under Leptodora kindtii. Its description in RNAcentral is "eukaryotic LSU rRNA". It matches the Rfam family "Eukaryotic large subunit ribosomal RNA", at positions 666 to 1478 of the family's 3401-position model. Lineage: Eukaryota; Metazoa; Arthropoda; Branchiopoda; Diplostraca; Leptodoridae. The record is from RNAcentral.
CCAAGGAGUCUAACAUGUGCGCGAGUCGUCGAGUCUAAUCGAAACUCGUGAGGCGCAAUGAAAGUAAAGUUUUUGCCCUGAUGAAGGUGCAACAAGGGGAGAUCUCGUCUUUUUUUCAAACCGAAGCGAGCGCAUCCCCAGGGCGUUCGAAGCCGCGACAUUUAGUCGGCCGAACGAACCUAGAGCGUACACGUUGGGACCCGAAAGAUGGUGACCUAUGCCUGGCCAGGACGAAGCCAGGGGAAACCCUGGUGGAGGUCCGCAGCGAUUCUGACGUGCAAAUCGAUCGUCGGAGUUGGGUAUAGGGGCGAAAGACUAAUCGAACCAUCUAGUAGCUGGUUCCCCCCGAAGUUUCCCUCAGGAUAGCUGGUGCUCGCAGAGAUAACAAACGGAGUUUCAUCCGGUAAAGCGAAUGAUUAGAGGCCUUGGGGUCGAAACGACCUCAACCUAUUCUCAAACUUUCAAUGGGUGAGAAGCCCGGCCUUUUACUUGAUUGAGGCCGUCGGCAUAAACUUGAAUCUGAGCGCCCAGUGGGCCAUUUUUGGUAAGCAGAACUGGCGCUGUGGGAUGAACCAAACGCCCGGUUAAGGCGCCUAAACGACGCACAUUUCGGAUCCCACGAAAAGGAGUUGGUUGCUAAAGACAGCAGGACGGUGGCCAUGGAGGUCGGAAUCCGCUCAGGAGUGUGUAACAACUCACCUGCCGAAGCAACUAGCCCUUAAAAUGGGAGGCGCUAUAGCGUCGUGCCUAUACCGGGCCGUCGGUCGGCAGUGAAUAUUCGUACUCUUCCCAUAGCGGGAUAAAAUGAGACGCUUAGGCCCCGACGAGUAGGGGGGUCGCGACGGUGUGCGUUGAAGGGUACUGGGCGUGAGCCUGCCUGGAGCCGCCGUCGGUGCAGAUCUUGGUGGUAGUAGCAAAUACUCCAGAGG